This 253-nucleotide ribosomal RNA is filed under the name uncultured bacterium. Its description in RNAcentral is "partial 16S ribosomal RNA". It matches the Rfam family "Bacterial small subunit ribosomal RNA", at positions 524 to 776 of the family's 1533-position model. The record is from RNAcentral.
UACGGGGGGGGCAAGCGUUGUUCGGAAUUACUGGGCGUAAAGGGCUCGUAGGCGGCCAACUAAGUCAUACGUGAAAUCCCUCGGCUUAACCGGGGAACUGCGUCUGAUACUGGAUGGCUUGAGAUUGGGAGAGGGAUGCGGAAUUCCAGGUGUAGCGGUGAAAUGCGUAGAUAUCAGGAGGAACACCGGUGGCGAAGGCGGGUCUCUGGGCCGAUACUGACGCUGAGGAGCGAAAGCGUGGGGAGCGAACAGG